AUGGCGUCCUCAGAUGCACCAGACGCGGCCAUCGCCGUCGCGGCCCCGAUUCCAGCCCCUCCUCGCACAGACAGCCACGAACCAUCUGGGGCAAAAGAAGCCGGCAGCGGCGGCAAGCAAUCCCAUCAGGUCCAGUGUCUAGAUGGGAAAAAUUGGAGACCUGGCUGCCACCACCGCACCUACAGGACGCCUGCUUGGGAAUCUGAAAAACUCUAUGGAAGGCCAUUGCUGCAGAUGGAUCCAAAUAAAUUUCCUGACAUGUUCUCCACAUUUUCGACUGAUGCUUUCAUGUCAUAUGGCGCUGGAGCAUAUCAAUGA
RNAcentral lists this ribosomal RNA (318 nucleotides) under Triticum aestivum (bread wheat). RNAcentral's name for it is "partial small subunit ribosomal RNA". Lineage: Eukaryota; Viridiplantae; Streptophyta; Magnoliopsida; Poales; Poaceae. The record is from RNAcentral.